AGUAGGAUCUGCACUGACACACAGUCACAUCGGGUAGUGACAGGAAUGUAAUAAAAUGACAGAGGAAGGAAAAACAGACAUAAGAUCCUUUUUCAGUAAGCCUACACCAAAACGCCAAGCAAAGGAGACAGAAAGAACUGAGGAACAGGUAGAGCAGGGACAGUCAGGUGGAGAGUCUCAGGUAAGUGUGUUGAGCUUAGUUCAUAUUGUUGGAGGUGUGUGGCUGUCAGGGUUAGCAGAUGAGCUUUACUAGUGGCUCACUAAUUUACAUUAUGAUCAGCUAAUUUAACAAGUGUACAAAAGUAUUGUA
Long non-coding RNA from Perca flavescens (yellow perch), 310 nucleotides. RefSeq lists it as uncharacterized. The transcript is spliced from 4 exons. NCBI's taxonomy places the organism in Eukaryota, Metazoa, Chordata, Actinopteri, Perciformes, Percidae. The record is from RefSeq and is a predicted model, not a curated record.